UUGUUACAAUAUACACUGGCAUUUUAAUCAGAACACUGGCAGAUGCUUCGCAAAAUCAGCAGUUCCUGUCGCCCCCCCAGAUUGUGUUCACGGUCGUUGGGUUUUGCGUUACUGCAGCUACUACAGUUUUCUUCACUGUAUAUGCAAAAAGGAAACUCAAGGAAUUGCAGAUAGAAGACGAUCAAUUAUUGCAGUAGUGAGGUCUCUUCCUUAGCCAGGCUAAACUUACUUAUUUGAGCACAUAGAGCUGAUGGACAAUGAUUGCAUCAAUCGAACAAUUUCAUAUCAAUGUUCGGUUUCAAG
Molecule: unclassified non-coding RNA, 303 nt
Filed under: Hevea brasiliensis (rubber tree)
Lineage: Eukaryota; Viridiplantae; Streptophyta; Magnoliopsida; Malpighiales; Euphorbiaceae
Source: RNAcentral